RNAcentral lists this ribosomal RNA (782 nucleotides) under uncultured archaeon. Its description in RNAcentral is "bacterial SSU rRNA". It matches the Rfam family "Archaeal small subunit ribosomal RNA", at positions 453 to 1233 of the family's 1478-position model. The record is from RNAcentral.
UUGUGCCAGCCGCCGCGGUAAAACCAGCACCUCGAGUGGUCAGGAGGUUUAUUGGGCCUAAAGCAUCCGUAGCCGGUUGUUUAAGUUUUCGGUUAAAUCUAUGCGCUUAACGUAUGGGCUGCCGAAAAUACUGGACAGCUAGGGAAUGGGAGAGGUACACGGUACUCGAUAGGAAGGGGUAAAAUCCUUUGAUCUAUUGAUGACCACCUGUGGCGAAGGCGGUGUACCAGAACACGUUCGACGGUGAGGGAUGAAAGCUGGGGGAGCAAACCGGAUUAGAUACCCGGGUAGUCCCAGCUGUAAACGAUGCAAACUCGGUGAUGCAUUGGCUUGUGGCCAAUGCAGUGCCGCAGGGAAGCCGUUAAGUUUGCCGCCUGGGAAGUACGUACGCAAGUAUGAAACUUAAAGGAAUUGGCGGGGGAGCACCACAAGGGGUGAAGCCUGCGGUUCAAUUGGAGUCGACGCCAGAAACCUUACCCGGGGCGACAGCAGAAUGAAGGUCAAGCUGAAGACUUUACCAGACAAGCUGAGAGGUGGUGCAUGGCCGUCGCCAGCUCGUGCCGUGAGAUGUCCUGUUAAGUCAGGUAACGAGCGAGACCCCUGCGUCUAGUUGCUACCAUUCCUCUCUGGAGUAGUGGAGCGAAUUAGACGGACCGCCACAGUUAAUGUGGAGGAAGGAAGGGGCCACGGCAGGUCAGUAUGCCCCGAAACCCUGGGGCCACACGCGGGCUGCAAUGGUAUUGACAAUGUGUUCCGAACCCGAAAGGGGGAGGCAAUCAUCA